Molecule: ribosomal RNA, 497 nt
Filed under: uncultured bacterium
Lineage: Bacteria
Description: partial 16S ribosomal RNA
Rfam family: Bacterial small subunit ribosomal RNA
Source: RNAcentral
GAUGAACGCUGGCGGCGUGCCUAAUACAUGCAAGUCGAGCGAACAGACGAGGAGCUUGCUCCUCUGACGUUAGCGGCGGACGGGUGAGUAACACGUGGAUAACCUACCUAUAAGACUGGGAUAACUUCGGGAAACCGGAGCUAAUACCGGAUAAUAUAUUGAACCGCAUGGUUCAAUAGUGAAAGACGGUUUUGCUGUCACUUAUAGAUGGAUCCGCGCCGCAUUAGCUAGUUGGUAAGGUAACGGCUUACCAAGGCGACGAUGCGUAGCCGACCUGAGAGGGUGAUCGGCCACACUGGAACUGAGCCACGUUCCAGACUCCUACGGGAGGCAGCAGUAGGGAAUCUUCCGCAAUGGGCGAAAGCCUGACGGAGCAACGCCGCGUGAGUGAUGAAGGUCUUCGGAUCUUAAAACUCUGUUAUUAGGGAAGAACAAAUGUGUAAGUAACUAUGCACGUCUUGACGGUACCUAAUCAGAAAGCCACGGCUAACUACGUG